UACGGGGGGGGCAAGCGUUGUCCGGAAUUAUUGGGCGUAAAGAGCUCGUAGGCGGUUCGUCGCGUCGGCUGUGAAAACCCGAGGCUCAACCUCGGGCCUGCAGUCGAUACGGGCGGACUGGAGUUCGGCAGGGGAGACUGGAAUUCCUGGUGUAGCGGUGAAAUGCGCAGAUAUCAGGAGGAACACCGGUGGCGAAGGCGGGUCUCUGGGCCGAUACUGACGCUGAGGAGCGAAAGCGUGGGGAGCGAACAGG
Molecule: ribosomal RNA, 253 nt
Filed under: uncultured bacterium
Lineage: Bacteria
Description: partial 16S ribosomal RNA
Rfam family: Bacterial small subunit ribosomal RNA
Source: RNAcentral